GUUCAGUGGCAUCAGGGCACCCCGAAUACCAAAUCUGAGUGCUAAUGCAGCGAGAAGAAGCACAUUUAGACCGGCGUGGUAAAUGGCCCAUGCUCUAGCCAGGCGGUCACAUCUUCAGCUCCUUGUUGACUGACCCGGGAACAUUCCAGUGUAUUGGUACAGCAAUUUGGAAGCGGCACAUAGAGCUAGGAGCACGACCUCUCAAAUGACCAGGCCCACUUUUCAUUCAUGCAUCUGGAGAGGUCAAUUCCACAGCCGUUCAUCACACAUCCGCCAUGAGCCGGGCACCGGCGUACUGCCAGAAGGUCAUGGCCCAGCGAGGCCAGGCCUCAGUCUGCCGACCAGAAUCAGGUGAGACACAGUCAUUUCUGUUUCUAGAUUAGCUGUUACAUGCAUGGCGUACAGGGGUGGGCACUGCAGAAAAUCACCCCAGAUGAGUACAGAAAGCAGAUAAAACUACACCUGAUCUUUUCCGUGGACAACUAAAGCGUAGUGGAGAGGAGGGUCUUUGCGGGCUGUGUGUAUGAUGGUGACAAUUCCAUGCUUUCUAACUGGGAGGGUGCAGGGCACUGAGGUGUUUGGAAGAGGAGGUAGGAAGGGGUUCUGAGUGUGCAUAGCAGGCAUACAGUUUCUGCUUAGAUUGUUGCUUCUUGGGUUAGCUCUGGGGGCACCUGACGGAAAUCACUGGGGGAGGGGUGGUUUCCUUCCUCCCAAGCCACCUUUGGGAGGCCCAGU
RNAcentral lists this long non-coding RNA (735 nucleotides) under Mustela putorius furo (domestic ferret). Its description in RNAcentral is "lncRNA (ENSMPUG00000026548.1)". Lineage: Eukaryota; Metazoa; Chordata; Mammalia; Carnivora; Mustelidae. The record is from RNAcentral.